CAGCCGCCGCGGUAACACGUAGGGGGCGAGCGUUGUCCGGAAUUACUGGGCGUAAAGGGCGCGUAGGCGGCGAUUUAAGUCUGAUGUGAAACCCCUGGGCUUAACCUAGGGCUUGCAUUAGAAACUGAAUGGCUUGAGGGCAGGAGAGGAAAGCGGAAUUCCCAGUGUAGCGGUGAAAUGCGUAGAUAUUGGGAGGAACACCAGUGGCGAAGGCGGCUUUCUGGACUGAACCUGACGCUGAGGCGCGAAAGCCAGGGUAGCGAACGGGAUUAGAUACCCCGGUAGUCCUGGCCGUAAACGAUGGAUACUAGGUGUGGGAGGUAUCGACCCCUUCCGUGCCGCAGCCAACGCACUAAGUAUCCCGCCUGGGGAGUACGGCCGCAAGGCUGAAACUCAAAGGAAUUGACGGGGGCCCGCACAAGCGGUGGAGCAUGUGGUUUAAUUCGAUGCAACGCGAAGAACCUUACCAGGUCUUGACAUCCCUCUGCCGGGUAUAGAGAUAUACCUUUCCUUCGGGACAGAGGAGACAGGUGGUGCAUGGCC
RNAcentral lists this ribosomal RNA (543 nucleotides) under uncultured archaeon. RNAcentral describes it as "bacterial SSU rRNA". It matches the Rfam family "Bacterial small subunit ribosomal RNA", at positions 509 to 1050 of the family's 1533-position model. The record is from RNAcentral.